RNAcentral lists this ribosomal RNA (253 nucleotides) under uncultured bacterium. RNAcentral describes it as "partial 16S ribosomal RNA". It matches the Rfam family "Bacterial small subunit ribosomal RNA", at positions 524 to 776 of the family's 1533-position model. The record is from RNAcentral.
UACGUAGGUGACCAGCGUUGUCCGGAUUUACUGGGCGUAAAGAGCGCGCAGGCGGUCGUUCAAGUCGAGUGUGAAAGCCCCCGGCUCAACUGGGGAGGGUCACUCGAUACUGAUCGACUGGAAGGCAGGAGAGGGAAGCGGAAUUCCCGGUGUAGUGGUGAAAUGCGUAGAUAUCUGGAGGAAUACCGGUGGCGAAGGCGGCAUCCUGGACCGACAUUGACGCUGAGGAGCGAAAGCUAGGGGAGCAAACGGG